AGCCUCUCAAAGCAUUUAUAGGGUCUGAAUAAGGUAGACAAGGGAUUUGUGAGUCCUGAUUCAGUCCAAAGAUGCAACUCGAACUCAUGAACCAACCAGCUCUAGUUGUAGUGUUGGGUAUGUUGCAUAGCACAUGAUGUCAUUUAAACCAUUCACCUAAUGUAUAGCCUUAUCUUCUCUAGAUAUGGACAACCGACUGAUCAUCACAAUCUUUUUUGUGACGUUGUCGUCAGCCGUCAUUGCCGCCAAGGGUCAAAAAACACUUGGAACAACAGCAACUCCAACCAUUGGAUAUGAGACGACUACGGAAAAGAACAUUAUUGUAUCACCAACGGCAGCAGAGAAUGAAGAAGUAACUCCAACUGAUACAGGAAAUGCGAUGACCCCAGUGGAUCGCACUGGCUGUUCAACAGACCGGAUCUGUCUGGCUGAGCCUUCCGACUGUAACCCUAAUGCAUCAUCACAAUGUAUCUUUGCAUCGGCCAGGCAGACUGUGGGUCAAAACUUUGAAUUAAUUCUCUCGGGAGAGACAGUUGGCUACAUUGCUGCCACCCUGUCAACAGACACUCUACUGGGAGGUAACGACACAACCUAUGUGUGUGCAAGGGGCAAAGGAGAUGUCAUUCACUUCUUUACUGCUUUGCUUGACAAUAACCAGCUCAUCUUGACCAAUUCGACUGCUACAACUGUGAGAGGCCGCACAAAUGGAACCAGGUUGGAGUGCGCUUUUAACGCCUCAAUACCCGACUACUCAUCAUCCUUAAAACAGAUUCGGGCAAGCAGCUUGUCAGGCAUGAUCAGCACUGGACAUUUCGACCCCGUCAGCGGUGCACUGGGAACCCCCACCGCAAGGAUGAUGUCUAAUGUUGUAAACCUAAUGGACCCUACCAGCAACACCACCAAUUUCAAUUCCAACAUCACCACCACUUUGUCUAGUUUCUCCACCGUCCUCCAUCAUUCCCUGAUUCAAGGUAAGCUGAAGAUAACUCAGCCGUAUUCAUUAUCCAGAAAUGCUCUUAUUUCGAAAUAAUAAUAAUAAUAAUAACAGUGUCUGACUUUUGUUGCUAUGUCUUUUUCCGCAGCUCUGCUGGUGCCCCUGGUCAUCAUAAGUCUGGCCCUGGUAUGAGGGAACCCCCCAAAUAACUGCGAUACUGAUUAGGAACUACAAAAGGGGUCACCGGAUGUUUAGCAUACUAAGUUUGGUUUAAUGUUGCAAUGAUUCAGGUCGGGUGAUUGGUAGUAUGAAUAUCUGAAUUUUACUUUUAAAAAAAACAAAACUAAAAAAACUUCUUAGAGUUGAAGGAAUGAUUUCUCUUAUGAAGAUGACAUUUAUCCGCUAAAUGUCCGAAAUUAAAUUCAUUAUUUACUCACACUCAGACUAUUUAAACUACUAUGAAUGUUAUUCACUUGUUGAAAGUAUUGGGUUAAUCGUUGACUUACUGCGGUUUGAUAAUGUUCCUGAUAACAAUACAAUUUAAAUGUAUUUUUUUUUCUUUUAUCGACCCUCAAUGAUGGAAAGUUGGCAGAUGAAGGAACUGCGUUGAGCUGCAGCUAUGCUAUGCUAAUAUAUAUAUAUUUAUAUAUUUAUAUGCGCUAAACGAGUGCUUCUCAAACUUUUCAUGUUGCACCCCCUACCCCCAGCGCAACAAAAUUGGUACAAAAUGUAACCUGUAACUCUUGAAAGUAGCAUAAAAUUUAUAACCGCAUACAUUAUAACAGUAAUAACGAAGUACUUUGAGUGCGAAGAAAAGAAUAGUUUUAAUAUUUUCUGGCUCAAUGUUUAGCAAGGCUGUUCUUUCACCCUCCCCCCACAGUUUGGGAAGCAUUGCGCUAAGCUAACAUAUAACAUCAAAAAGUAAAAUUAAGUUGUAUUUUGAGCUAAAACAAAACAGUUAAUGGUGAACACGUACUUAACUAUGUAUGUUUCCUUUCUUUGGUGUUUGUUCUUUUAUUCUUUUAUUUGAAGUAUUUCUUUAGCGGCUGUAACACAAGAAAUUUCUCUCUGGG
This 2007-nucleotide long non-coding RNA is filed under the name Gouania willdenowi (blunt-snouted clingfish). RNAcentral describes it as "lncRNA (ENSGWIG00000004136.1)". The record is from RNAcentral. Lineage: Eukaryota; Metazoa; Chordata; Actinopteri; Blenniiformes; Gobiesocidae.